UCCUCAGUACAAGUCGACAGGGCCAACGUAUCAUUCCAUUGGCGGGGCCUAGACUAUAGUCACGCGGAUUUUAAAAAUCAAUAAAUCAACUUUCCAACUCAAGUCAUGAACAAACUCCCAAUAGUAAAGUACAUAACAGUUUAUAAAAUUAAAUAUUAAUUUCUAAUUCUAACACAUAAUGCCAAUAAUAAUUUAAUAGUUUAUGAAAUUAAAUGCUUAAUUCUAAUUCUAACAUAUAAUGCCAAUAAUAAAUCAUACAUCAACAUAUGCAUGAUACAUGUUAAAAUUCUACUUUAAAGCAAUAGGUCACCUACCUGGGUUCGCUUUAAAAUCCCUGCCACAGAUAUUACGAACCCCUGAUUAAACAUAAAUAUUAAUUAUUUAAUUAACUAAGAAACAUAAUUUAAACAAUUUUUCAAACUCUUAAACUCCUAAGUUCAUAGAUCCAAGAAUAGGCCCCUAAGAUCAAACAUAGACCCUAAAAUCAGAAUCCCUUAAACCCAAGUCAAUUGUGGCCCAAAACAGAUUAGGCCCAAUUGAACCAAACCGGAUAACAGGUCCAGAUCAGAUU
This 571-nucleotide long non-coding RNA is filed under the name Phoenix dactylifera (date palm). Its description in RNAcentral is "long non-coding RNA (PDAC_LNC016850)". The record is from RNAcentral. Lineage: Eukaryota; Viridiplantae; Streptophyta; Magnoliopsida; Arecales; Arecaceae.